Molecule: long non-coding RNA, 3796 nt
Organism: Oryzias sinensis (Chinese medaka)
Lineage: Eukaryota; Metazoa; Chordata; Actinopteri; Beloniformes; Adrianichthyidae
Source: Ensembl
AUGGACGGAGUCGCGUUUGUCACUUUUGAUCGAGCUGAAGAUGCAGCAAAGGUGGUGGAAAAGGAACAGCAAGUGAUGGAGGAUGAGGAGUUUCCUGCUGUCUACACCCUCACCGUGUUUCCCUUCAGUACAGACGUGUUUCUGUACGUCAACAGCGCCACGGUGGAUCUCUCCGUCUUCGACGACCCCGCUUCGUUGAUAGCGAGUCUUCAGUCUACUUACAGAUCGAUACGAUUCCAGCGUUUGCCCCAGCAGAACAAGGUCAGAAUUGAGGGGCCUUUCUAUGCGGUCAGGGCUCUGAGAGAUGACCUCACCGCGAGGACCAACAGCCUUAAACCCUUAGCCCAAAGCGCUAGUAUCAACUCAAACGUUAACAUCCCAAACUUUUCCUCAAAGCUAAAAGUUCCUGAUGAGACUUUGGGUGCAGGGGGGGAGGUGGUGGAACAGCUGACUGCUCAUAGGAGGCUUGAAAUGUCCACAAACUGUAGAACGGAUGGAUUACCCUCCAGCCGUAGGGAGGUGGUGGGAGCAGAAACAAUGACGAGGACGGCGUCCUCUUUUGCUGAGCAUGAAAUGUCAGUAAAACCAAAGAAACUCACCAGUGCUCCUUCAGCCGGGACCAAAGGACAUUCCAAAGUGCCAAGCAGCCCCGUGCCAUCUGAGAGGGGCCGUUCGCCAAUGAGGGACCCGAAAGGCGCCAGAGGGCGGCGCUCCAAUGACGUAGACGACAUUUGGGUGGAUGAGUACACAUUCAAGUACAUUAAAAAGUUCCAUAAAGAGCACAUGGACAGAUGCCUGAAGGGUCUGAAAGUCUGGGAGGAGCACGUGGAGGGAAGCGGCCUGGUGCGGAUAUGUCUGAGGGACAAGGAGUCAUCGGGUAAAGACGCCGCCAAGAACCUCCAGACUCUCAUAACGUCUGAGCACGCCAACCUGAGAGUUUAUGAAAUCUCUCUGGACAAAACGCAGCUGCGCUCUAAGAGACAACUGACUAAAUUCUGCGAGGACGCAGCCUUCCUGUACCAAAAUGUUCUUUACCUGCUCGAGGAAUCUUCUAUUAAAGUCAUCGGCCCGGCUGUAUCAUCCUUCCUGUUCCGUUUGAUUUUGGAGGACAAAAUACAAAUGACAUUUCUGGAUGGUUAGUAAAUCAGAACCUCUUUAGAACCAGUUCCUGUGGUGGACCAACUCUUCUGAUCGCCUCAAGUGAGCAGUGAUUUUUUUUUUAUUAAAACCUAAUUCUUUGACAGGAAAUACCCAAACUGAACAGCAGGGGGCAGUAAGAGCCUUUCUUCUUCAGGAGCGAGGCGUUGAAGUGAAGCAAUUAUGGAGGAUGGGUUUGGCAAACAGGGUGAGGACUGGAAGACGAACGAUCAGAGACUGAUGUCCCAUUACAACCCCCAUAUCUCCUCACACUGUUAUCAGAUCUGCAGAAGUGAUGUUCGAUACUGCCUGGUUGAGGGAUUUACCUUUCAGAUCAUCUCGUUCAGCAGAUCCACUAAUUGAUUCUGUUUGUUAAAAAAAACUAAAAAAACAAGCGCCGCCGCCACAAUGAACCCACGCCACCUCUCCCGCUCGUUACCAUAGGAACGUAACAGAGGAGGUUGGAGAGCUGCAGCGAUGGGCGUUGUUAGGGGAAGCUCUUGAUCACAACAAAAGCAUCCAGAAGGACGGUGGGAUUCUGCAGGAGAGACCCUUCAUCACAGGUCCGCCUCCUCCAUCACAGGCUGUCCCUUUGAUACGUCUUAACCUUCCCCCAUUAUUUGGGUGGAGGGGGGGGCAUAAAAGAGGGUCAACGAGCAGAAAGCACGAAUAUUUUUUUUCUGUGACAGGCUCUCCAUCACACUCACGUGCACCCAUCAUGAACCAGGCGUAAUUAGCGUUUUGAAUGUGUGGCUUUCAUGGGAGGUCACCUAAAAUGACGAGUCUUUCAGGAAAAAAAAAAAGGCCUCCGCGUCACCCGGACACGGAACGCUCCUGAACAUCAAGGGUACUUCCAAUCCAGAGACCAAAUCUGAGGCUCAGGUGGGGCUGAAACAUACGAGCACUUCAGAAUAAACAUUCACAGACUGAAUGACAACAAGGUACUUAAAUUCAACAUGAUUAUGUACCUCAAUAUGCAGAUGAUGGUGUAAUUUAUUGCUUUAAUAUCAGCUAUAGUUUCUGUAGAUCCAACUCUUUUCUGUUGGUCGGACCGCAUUAAAAAAGUAAAUGAUAACAGGAACGUUUUACUUUUAGUAUUGUCUUUACACAAAAGGUUAAAGAAAUCAUUUAAUCCAGCCAAUUAGUUUCUGAUUUUUGGUGCAUUCCAGAUCCUUUGAGUGCAGUCUAGACUGUUCUCCAUACAGGUUCAAUUUCCGUACAAAUUUUGGUUAUUUAAAGCUGAGUUGUCCUCAAGGCAUUAUCACAGUAAAGAUGACAUAAAUAAUAUUUUCUGCUCAUGGUCCAUCAUUUUUUAGUUUGCAAUUACUGAGCCUAGUUUCCUGUUUUUUUUACAAAAAUUUCCUUUUUUUUAACAAAAUGUAUACCUGUCCUGUUGUAAUGUGCCUUUAUGAAGCACAAAGCUUCUCUGUUUGGAAAAAAUCAAGGGAUAAAACAAAGUUUUUAUGGUAAUUUUUAUAGACUGAGUAAAGUUCUUCCCCCAAUCAAGCUUCCUGUGAGCACCAAAACUCUCACUGUGCCUCAGACAACUCAUGCAGUAGUAAUAAUAUUUAUUUUCACGUCUUUUAGUUUUGCUUUCACAUUCUUUGUUGCUUUCACAUUUUUUGACAUUCACUUUCCUUUAAGUUAACAUUCACAUUCCUAUAAGUUAGCAUUUCGCAUUCCUCCAAGUUGNNNNNNNNNNGCAUUUCGCAUUCCUCCAAGUUAGCAUUUCGCAUUCCUCCAAGUUAGCAUUUCGCAUUCCUCCAAGUUAGCAUUUCGCAUUCUUCCAAGUUAGCAUUUCACAUUCCUCCAAGUAAACAUUUCCCAUUCCUCUAAGUUAGCAUUUCACAUUCCUCUAAGUUAACAUUUUCCAUUCCUCUUAGUUGCCAUUUCUCAUUCCUUUAUUAUUGGCAUUACACAUUCUUUUAGUUGGCAUUUCACAUUCCUUUAGUUUGGCAUAAGACUCUGUGCAAUUCCAUGAAACAUUUUUGCUCUUUAUCGUGUCUCCAAUGUCUACCAAUAAACCAUUACCUGUGAGUUUUUGUCGCUGUGUCCCUGAAACUGAAUGUUAAAUAAUGCUUUAGUCACUUUAGGUUUUUUAUUCUAUUUCUGCAGUAUCAAAGUAACAUGAUUCAGGUUGUGCAUCACAAUUCUGAGACAGCAACAUGACGAUGUAAUAAAUUAUAAUAGAUUAACAACAACUAGUAAUAUUUAUGACAAUAUGGAAUGGAGGUUACAUGCACAACACUGUUUACUUAAAAAAAAAAGACAAUAGUGAGUGUCAUGUUCCCAAAAUGACAGAAAGUCGUACGAAACUCUAAUCUGAGAGGAGAAACAUCAACAUCACGUUUUAAUGACAAAAGUCACAUUUAGCUCACAGACUUCUAAUUAAACUGAUAUUUUUCUGUCAUUUGGUUCAGUUUCUUACUCUGUUUGAUGAAUACAGUAUCACAUCAAAUGAAAAUACUAUUCAAAUAAAACCCUGAAAAGUUACAUUAACACAAAUGUGUCAUUUUAUGAAAAUAAAAAUCCAAUUUUUGUUACAAAUUGUUUCUUUUUUUCCAUCUGUGACCCUUUCUUUGGUCCUGCCCUCUAUAAACAUCCACCCUCCCUCUUUAUUCUGUUUGCCCUGAAAUGUAAAAAGGAAUAUACAAGAUGA